CCUACGGGAGGCAGCAGUCGGGAAUAUUGCGCAAUGGAGGAAACUCUGACGCAGUGACGCCGCGUAUAGGAAGAAGGUUUUCGGAUUGUAAACUAUUGUCGUUAGGGAAGAGAAAGGACAGUACCUAAGGAGGAAGCUCCGGCUAACUACGUGCCAGCAGCCGCGGUAAUACGUAGGGAGCGAGCGUUAUCCGGAAUUAUUGGGUGUAAAGGGUGCGUAGACGGGAAUGCAAGUUAGUUGUGAAAUCCCUCGGCUUAACUGAGGAACUGCAACUAAAACUACAUUUCUUGAGUGCAGGAGAGGUAAGUGGAAUUCCUAGUGUAGCGGUGAAAUGCGUAGAUAUUAGGAGGAACACCAGUGGCGAAGGCGACCUGCUGGAACAUUACUGACGCUGAUGCACGAAAGCGUGGGGAGCAAACAGGAUUAGAUACCCCCGUAGUC
RNAcentral lists this ribosomal RNA (441 nucleotides) under uncultured bacterium. RNAcentral's name for it is "partial 16S ribosomal RNA". It matches the Rfam family "Bacterial small subunit ribosomal RNA", at positions 338 to 795 of the family's 1533-position model. The record is from RNAcentral.